Molecule: ribosomal RNA, 514 nt
Filed under: uncultured bacterium
Lineage: Bacteria
Description: partial 16S ribosomal RNA
Rfam family: Bacterial small subunit ribosomal RNA
Source: RNAcentral
GAUGAACGCUGGCGGCGUGCCUAAUACAUGCAAGUCGAGCGAACAGAUGAGAAGCUUGCUUCUCUGGUGUUAGCGGCGGACGGGUGAGUAACACGUGGGUAACCUACCUAUAAGACUGGGAUAACUCCGGGAAACCGGGGCUAAUACCGGACAAUAUUUUGAACCGCAUGGUUCAAUAGUGAAAGACGGUUUCGGCUGUCACUUAUAGAUGGACCCGCGCCGUAUUAGCUAGGUGGUAAGGUAACGGCUUACCAAGGCGACGAUACGUAGCCGACCUGAGAGGGUGAUCGGCCACACUGGAACUGAGACACGGUCCAGACUCCUACGGGAGGCAGCAGUAGGGAAUCUUCCGCAAUGGGCGAAAGCCUGACGGAGCAACGCCGCGUGAGUGAUGAAGGUCUUCGGAUCGUAAAACUCUGUUGUUAGGGAAGAACAAAUUUGUUAGUAACUGAACAAGUCUUGACGGUACCUAACCAGAAAGCCACGGCUAACUACGUGCCAGCCGCCGCCGUAA